UAAAAGUGUCUCCUGAGCUCUUUCUAUAUGAAUAGCACACAGAUGAGGUCCUUGUGCUUUGUUUGCACAGAAUUGAUAUCAAGAGAUUUCGGAAGCACAAUUUUUAAUAUUUGGAGCUGCUGGUGAUAGCUUGUCAUGUGCAAUUGUUCUG
Molecule: small nuclear RNA, 151 nt
Organism: Rhincodon typus (whale shark)
Lineage: Eukaryota; Metazoa; Chordata; Chondrichthyes; Orectolobiformes; Rhincodontidae
Product: U11 spliceosomal RNA
Exons: 1
Source: RefSeq, a predicted model, not a curated record